RNAcentral lists this unclassified non-coding RNA (291 nucleotides) under plant metagenome. Its description in RNAcentral is "partial contains small subunit ribosomal RNA, internal transcribed spacer 1, and 5.8S ribosomal RNA". The stretch from base 1 to 54 matches the Rfam family "Eukaryotic small subunit ribosomal RNA", at positions 1778 to 1831 of the family's 1831-position model. The record is from RNAcentral.
GGAAGUAAAAGUCGUAACAGGGUUUCCGUAGGUGAACCUGCGGAAGGAUCAUUAAUGAGUUGUCAUGGGGUUCGAUGCUGGCAGCCAAUUUUUGGAUGCAUGUGCUUGCCCUAACAAUCAUCUUCCAAACACCUGUGCACAUUUUUGAGGGAGUCUUGAGUUGGUUGCCGCUCUUGGGUGAUUUUCUCACAUUCCCUUAAAUCAUUAUACGCUAUUAACAAUGUUGAACGUGCUCUGUGCCGCAAGGCUAUUAAUAUAAUACAACUUUUAACAACGGAUCUCUUGGCUCUC